GAUGAACGCUGGCGGCGUGCCUAAUACAUGCAAGUCGAACGCUGAAGGAAGGAGCUUGCUCUUUCCGGAUGAGUUGCGAACGGGUGAGUAACGCGUAGGUAACCUGCCUGGUAGCGGGGGAUAACUAUUGGAAACGAUAGCUAAUACCGCAUAACAGUAGAUGUUGCAUGAUAUCUACUUAAAAGGUGCAAUUGCACCACUACCAGAUGGACCUGCGUUGUAUUAGCUAGUUGGUGAGGUAACGGCUCACCAAGGCGACGAUACAUAGCCGACCUGAGAGGGGGAUCGGCCACACUGGGACUGAGACACGGCCCAGACUCCUACGGGAGGCAGCAGUAGGGAAUCUUCGGCAAUGGACGGAAGUCUGGCCGAGCAACGCCGCGGGAGUGAAGAAGGGUUUCGGAUCGUAAAGCUCUGUUGUAAGAGAAGAACGAGUGUGAGAGUGGAAAGUUCACACUGUGACGGUAGCUGACCAGAAAGUGACGGCUAACUACGUG
Molecule: ribosomal RNA, 497 nt
Filed under: uncultured bacterium
Lineage: Bacteria
Description: partial 16S ribosomal RNA
Rfam family: Bacterial small subunit ribosomal RNA
Source: RNAcentral